ACUCAAAGGAAUAGACGGGGGCCCGCACAAGCGGCGGAGCAUGCGGAUUAAUUCGAUGCAACGCGAAGAACCUUACCUGGGCUUGACAUGCGCGGAAAUCCGGCAGAGAUGUCGGGUCCGCAAGGGCCGCGCACAGGUGGUGCAUGGCUGUCGUCAGCUCGUGUCGUGAGAUGUUGGGUUAAGUCCCGCAACGAGCGCAACCCUCGUCCCGUGUUGCCAGCACAUAAUGGUGGGAACUCACGGGAGACUGCCGGGGUCAACUCGGAGGAAGGUGAGGUCGAAGUCAAGUCAUCAUGCCCCUUACGUCCAGGGCUUCACGCAUGCUACAAUGGCCGGUACAAAGGGCUGCGAUACCGCAAGGUGGAGCGAAUCCCAAAAAGCCGGUCUCAGUUCGGAUCGGGGUCUGCAACUCGACCCCGUGAAGUCGGAGUCGCUAGUAAUCGCAGAUCAGCAACGCUGCGGUGAAUACGUUCCCGGGCCUUGUACACACCGCCCGU
This 497-nucleotide ribosomal RNA is filed under the name uncultured bacterium. Its description in RNAcentral is "partial 16S ribosomal RNA". It matches the Rfam family "Bacterial small subunit ribosomal RNA", at positions 899 to 1397 of the family's 1533-position model. The record is from RNAcentral.